GCUGGGCAUGGUGGCGCAUGCCUGUAAUCCCAGCUACUCGGGAGGCUGAGGUAGGAGAAUUGCUUGAACCCGGGAGUUGGAGUUUGCAGUGAGCCGAGAUCACGCCACUGCACUCCAGCCUGUGCUACAGAGUGAGACUCGGUCUCAA
RNAcentral lists this non-coding RNA (148 nucleotides) under Pan paniscus (pygmy chimpanzee). Lineage: Eukaryota; Metazoa; Chordata; Mammalia; Primates; Hominidae. The record is from Rfam by way of RNAcentral. RNAcentral also lists the same sequence under 1 other name.